Mauremys mutica (yellowpond turtle) is the source of this 341-nucleotide long non-coding RNA. RefSeq lists it as uncharacterized. Lineage: Eukaryota; Metazoa; Chordata; Testudines; Geoemydidae. The transcript has 2 exons. The record is from RefSeq and is a predicted model, not a curated record.
UACAACUGCACAGACCUUCUUUACUGCAGGGACUUAUAAUCAUCAAGAGAUCUGCAAUCCAAAUAUAGCACUCUGAAUGGAAGGGAGGAAUCUACAAGCCCAGAAACAUACAUGAGAGACAGAACUUUAUUGCAAUAAGAUUGAAAGCAUCACUUAUGGGAGAAUGUGCCAGGUGAGGGCAAUUCUACCCCGAAGGACACAUGGAAAACACAAUAUUAUCUCAAUUAAACAAAAGUGUUUUUCUGAAGAUCUAUCACACCACAUGGAACAGAAUGACACCCUGCUCAAUGUACAUCCCAUAAUUCAGAAAUGUUCACUCUAGAUUAAAUAGUUCGCUCCUC